CAUGUCUGUUGGAAUACAGCGGCAUAGUGGUGAUACCCCAUUACACGGUGCGGACGCCCAGCGCUUUGUGAUACACUUUCGACGAGUCGAGUUGUUUGGGAAUGCAGCUCAAAUUGGGUGGUAAAUUCCAUCUAAAGCUAAAUAUUGGCGAGAGACCGAUAGCGAACAAGUACCGUGAGGGAAAGAUGAAAAGCACUUUGGAAAGAGAGUUAAAAGUACGUGAAAUUGUUGGAAGGGAAACGCUUGAAGUCAGACUUGCUUGCCGGGCUUGCUCGGUUUGCAGGCCAGCAUCAAGAUUUUUCCGGGGCGGAUAAUGGCACGUUAGAAUGUAGGCAGUCUCGGCUGUGUUAUAGCUUUCUGCUGGAUACGUCCUGGGGGGACUGAGGACACGCAGCGUGCCGUAU
Molecule: ribosomal RNA, 404 nt
Filed under: Rhodotorula toruloides
Lineage: Eukaryota; Fungi; Basidiomycota; Microbotryomycetes; Sporidiobolales; Sporidiobolaceae
Description: eukaryotic LSU rRNA
Rfam family: Eukaryotic large subunit ribosomal RNA
Source: RNAcentral